GCCUCCGUGGCGCAAUCGGCUAGCGCAUUUGGCUGUUAACCAAAAGGUUGGAGGUUCGAGCCCUCCCGGGGGCG
Molecule: transfer RNA, 74 nt
Filed under: Rhipicephalus microplus (southern cattle tick)
Lineage: Eukaryota; Metazoa; Arthropoda; Arachnida; Ixodida; Ixodidae
Description: tRNA-Asn
Rfam family: tRNA
About the family: Transfer RNA (tRNA) molecules are approximately 80 nucleotides in length. Their secondary structure includes four short double-helical elements and three loops (D, anti-codon, and T loops). Further hydrogen bonds mediate the characteristic L-shaped molecular structure. tRNAs have two regions of fundamental functional importance: the anti-codon, which is responsible for specific mRNA codon recognition, and the 3' end, to which the tRNAs corresponding amino acid is attached (by aminoacyl-tRNA synthetases). tRNAs cope with the degeneracy of the genetic code in two manners: having more than one tRNA (with a specific anti-codon) for a particular amino acid; and 'wobble' base-pairing, i.e. permitting non-standard base-pairing at the 3rd anti-codon position.
Source: Rfam by way of RNAcentral